Brassica napus (rape) is the source of this 188-nucleotide non-coding RNA. Lineage: Eukaryota; Viridiplantae; Streptophyta; Magnoliopsida; Brassicales; Brassicaceae. The record is from Rfam.
ACAAAGAGAGCAUAUUAAGAUAGCCAAGGAGACUGCCUGAAACAUAGACCUCAAGAUUCAAUCAACUUUUAACAAACUGUUUUAAGAAUGCUAGUUAUUGAUUUGAAACACACACAGAAGAUUGAAUCAUUGGGAAGAACUAAACGCAGGCAAGUCAUCCUUGGCUACUAUAUAUCAGACUCUCUUCU